This 468-nucleotide ribosomal RNA is filed under the name uncultured bacterium. RNAcentral describes it as "partial 16S ribosomal RNA". It matches the Rfam family "Bacterial small subunit ribosomal RNA", at positions 28 to 507 of the family's 1533-position model. The record is from RNAcentral.
GACGAACGCUGGCGGCGUGCUUAACACAUGCAAGUCGAACGGAAAGGCCCUGCUUUUGUUGGGUGCUCGAGUGGCGAACGGGUGAGUAACACGUGGGUAACCUGCCCUUGACUUUGGGAUAACUUCAGGAAACUGGGUCUAAUACCGGAUAGGAGCUCCUGCUGCAUGGUGUUGGUUGGAAAGUUUCGGCGGUUGGGGAUGGACUCGCCGCUUAUCCGCUUGUUGGUGGGGUUGUGGCUUACCAAGGCUUUGAGGGGUCCCGGGCGUGAGGGGGUGAGCGGCCACAGUGGGACUGAGAUGGGGCACAGACCCCUACGGGAGGGAGCAGGGGGGAAUAGUGCAAAAGGGGCGGAAGCCAGAUGCAGCAACGCCGCGGGCGGGAUGAGGGCCUGCGGGGUGUAAACCGUUUUCGCGUGUGAAGAAGCGUGUGUGACGGUAAUGGGUAAAGAAGCACCGGCUAACUACGUG